This is a small nuclear RNA of Sciurus carolinensis (gray squirrel), 103 nucleotides long. Lineage: Eukaryota; Metazoa; Chordata; Mammalia; Rodentia; Sciuridae. The record is from RefSeq and is a predicted model, not a curated record.
GAGCUUCUGCAGCACAUAUACUAAAACUGGAAUGAGAUAGAGAAGAUCAGCAUGACCCCUGCACAAGAGUGACAUGCAAAUUCAUGAAGCAUUCCAUAUUUUA